ACAAAGUGCAGGCAAUGUCUUCCUCAAGCAUGGCUCGGAACUACGCCUAAUUCCUCGUGAUAGGGUUGGAGCUGCCUGAUCUCGGUGCCAAUGUAAACUACGAUCCCUUUAUCUGCUCGCCUUAGUUAACUGGCUUAAUUUGCAACCUGAAGCUGGGAGAAUUUAAUACUUGUUUAUCACAUUAUUGUAACUGGUUAGAACCGAUUUCCUUCUUAAUUAAAUAAAUGAGCCUCCUUAUUUCGG
RNAcentral lists this unclassified non-coding RNA (243 nucleotides) under Hevea brasiliensis (rubber tree). Lineage: Eukaryota; Viridiplantae; Streptophyta; Magnoliopsida; Malpighiales; Euphorbiaceae. The record is from RNAcentral.